UACAGAGGUCCCAAGCGUUGUUCGGAUUCACUGGGCGUAAAGGGUGCGUAGGUGGUCAGGUAAGUCGGAUGUGAAAUCUCCGAGCUCAACUCGGAAACUGCAUUGGAAACUACCUGGCUCGAGGGUUGGAGGGGGGACUGGAAUGCUUGGUGUAGCAGUGAAAUGCGUAGAUAUCAAGCGGAACACCAGUGGCGAAGGCGAGUCCCUGGACAACUCCUGACACUGAUGCACGAAAGCGUGGGGAGCAAACAGG
RNAcentral lists this ribosomal RNA (253 nucleotides) under uncultured bacterium. RNAcentral's name for it is "partial 16S ribosomal RNA". It matches the Rfam family "Bacterial small subunit ribosomal RNA", at positions 524 to 776 of the family's 1533-position model. The record is from RNAcentral.